UAGGCUCAACGCCAGAAAAAUCCAAAACCUCGAGAUUACGAACAAAUUUUUGAAGAGAUGAAGGAACCCCUUUAUCAAUUUUUCCGACGUGUGCUAAUACAUCUCCUUUGAGAAGGCGACCAUGAGGGCCUGUAGCAGGAAUAGACCACGGGUUUUCGAUUUUAUAUUGAUGAAUCAAAUAGCUAACGGAAGGAAGAAACGAUUUGUUAACAGCAUCGUUCGCUUGAGAAGUCGAUUUGUGUUCCACAUUACUUUUUGUUUCGCGAUCUUGAACAAUAGGCUUUACCUCUUCCUUAGAAGAGGAGAAAGAUUGCUCUUCUGAGGACGCUUCAUCCUUAGGUAAUUCCAAGUCUUUCAAAUUAUCUUCUGCAUCAGCAACGAUGGCAAUAUUUUUACCAACAGGGAUAUUCGAUCCUUUUUCGAUUAAGACUUUAGCAAGUAUUCCAUUAUCUUGCACUUCAACAUCCAUUGUCGCUUUAUCUAAAAUACCGUUAGUUCAAAGUCAUGGAUGUUUAAGAUUAUUAGUCUAUCAUUUUUCAUACAUACCAGUCUCAACUUCCAAAAGUAUAUCACCACUUUUAAACGAAUCACCUACGUAAAGAAUUAGAUUUAGGAAAUCUCAAUAUACCAACCUUCUUUAAAAUGCCAUUUAGUAAUGUUUCCUUCCUCCAUAGUAGGAGAAAGUGCAGGCAUACGAAACAUGCUUGCAACUCCAUUAAGAGCAGAACAAUGGAAAUCUACAAAAAAUUAUUCUGUUAACUUCGUUAUUUCAAUAAAAAAAAACACUAGUACUCACAUCUUUGUUUAACGGAAAGCGAAUGUUUGCAUGAACUCGCUUUCACACAUUGGUGAAUGUAAUGCUUCAACAUCGUUUCCC
Molecule: non-coding RNA, 877 nt
Organism: Schizosaccharomyces pombe (fission yeast)
Lineage: Eukaryota; Fungi; Ascomycota; Schizosaccharomycetes; Schizosaccharomycetales; Schizosaccharomycetaceae
Source: the annotation of a GenBank genome assembly